RNAcentral lists this ribosomal RNA (2810 nucleotides) under Candidatus Pacebacteria bacterium CG11_big_fil_rev_8_21_14_0_20_34_55. Its description in RNAcentral is "bacterial LSU rRNA". The stretch from base 5 to 1996 matches the Rfam family "Bacterial large subunit ribosomal RNA", at positions 15 to 2044 of the family's 2925-position model. The record is from RNAcentral. Lineage: Bacteria; Bacillati; Minisyncoccota.
AUUAAUGCAGAUAGUGGAUGCCUAGGCUUAUCUGGCCGAUGAAGGACGCUAACCCCGCGAAAGUGGUUGGGUAACUGGGAAAAAGUUAUGAUCCAGCCGUGUCCGAAUUGAGCAAUCACGCUAUGUGAGAGCAUAGUGGCCCUAAAUUUAAAAUUUAGGUGGGUAACCCGCCGAACUGAAAUAUCUAAGUAGGCGGAGGAAAAGAAAACGUAAGAGAUUCCCUGAGUAAGCGACGAGCGAAAAGGGACCAGUCCAAACCCGGAAUUUAUUCCGGGGGUUGUAGGACCUCAACAUUCGAUUUUAGAAGAUAGAAGAACGCUUUGGAAUGAGCGAUCAAAGAGGGUGAUAAUCCCGUAAGCAAAAUCUAAUAAAACGAUAGAGGAUUCCUGAGUAGGUUGGGAGACGGCAAACUCCCUUCUGAAUCCGGGGUGACCACACUCCAAGACUAAAUACCAGAUAAGACCGAUAGUGAACGAGUACCGUGAGGGAAAGGUGAAAAGAAGGGUUGAAGACCCCGUGAAAUAGAACCUGAAACCAUCUGCUAACAAUCAGACAAAGCACAUUUAUUGUGUAAUGUCGUGCCUAUUGAAGAAUGAGCCGGCGAGUAUUUGGCAACUGCUUAGGUUAAGACAUUUCGUGUCGAAGCCGUAGUGAAAGCGAGCGUGAAUAGCGCGAUCUGUAGUUGCUGAAUGACCCGAAACCGGGUGAGCUUACCAUGACCAGGAUGAAGCCCUGAUAAUAUCGGGGUGGAGGUCCGCACCGGUGUAUGCUGCAAGAUGCUCGGAUGAGUUGUGGUAAGAGGUAAUAUGCCAAUCGAACCCGGAGAUAGCUGGUUCUCCCUGAAAUAUAUUUAGGUAUAGGGUUACGUGAAGUUGCGAGGGGGUAGAGCACUGAUCUGGUGCCUUGAGCGAAAGCUUAAGCGCCUAGUUAAACUCCGAAUACCUCGUAAUGUUUCGUAGCACUCAGCACCUGGGAGCUAAGUUCCAGGAGCAAAAGGAAAACAAACCAGACCUACAGCUAAGGUCUCAAAUUACAUAUUUAGUGGGAAAAGAAGUGUUAUUCCUAACACACCUAGGAGGUCGGCUCAGAAGCAGCCAUCCUUUAAAGAAAGCGUAACAGCUCACUAGCCGAGGAAUAAUGCGCUGAAAAUCCAACGAGGCUCAAAUAUGUAACCGAAGCUUAGGGUUUCGAUAUUAAAUUUAUUUGAUAUUGGAGCGGUAAGGGAGCGUUCUGUGUGCUUUNNNNNNNNNGUAGCGAAAUUGGGGUGAGAAUCCCCGACUCCGAAUGACCAAGGUUUCCGCACCCACGUUCGUCGUGUGCGGGUUAGGCGACCCUAAGGUGAGCCCUCGUUAAUGAGGGGUAGCCGAUGGAUUACUGGCUAAUAUUCCAGUCCUUGGUUAGGAUCAUUUGACUUGGGAAGGGACGGUGAUGGAUAACGUGUGAGCAGCGGUGAAUGUUGCUUCAAAGCACUAAAGCAGUCUAAAUUGGAAAAUCCGUUUAGGCGUUUAUCUGAAGUGUUAUAGGGCUCUGAUUCCUUUUGGAAGACGAGUUACGCGCGAUUUCAUUAUCCUGGAAAAGCUUCGCAAGGAGAUUCUAAUCAAAUCGUACCGAUAACCGACACAGGUGGUCAGGUCGAGUAGACCAAGGAGAGCGAGAGAAAAUAGUUUAAGGAACUCGGCAAAACAGCUGGGCGUAAUUUCGAGAGAUGCCCUCCUCUUUACAGUAAUGUAAAGAGGCGCAGUGAAUGUCAUGAGGUUGACUGUUUACCAAAAACACAGGUCUGUGCAAACUCGUAAGAGGAAGUAUACGGGCUGAAGCCUGCCCAGUGCCGGAAGGUUAAUUGAGGGGGUUUUGUCUAAUUUAUUAGAUAAGGCCUCUGAUCGAAGCCCCGGUGAACGGCAGCAGUAACUAUAAGUACAAUUGUAGUUAAAAAAGUUAGCUAUAUGCUGGAAAAUCUUGACAGGUCAAUCGUACUGCUGAUACAAUAUCAGUAGUGACAAUCGAUUGAAUAGAGAUAAUCAGCAGGAAAGACUGACAGAAUGUCAAAUUAUAAUCAAAUUCCCAUUAAUAUUGCUUGGUAUUUAUCAGGUUUUGUAGAUGGAGAAGGAAGUUUUAACAUUUCCUUUCGUAAGAAAGAUGAUUAUAAAACUGGUUGGCAACCAGUACUAAGUUUUAAUGUUUCUCAAAGAGAAAAAACUAUCUUAGCUUUAAUGAAACACCACUUUAAAUGUGGCAUUAUUAAGGCUAGACAAGAUGGUUUGCACUCUUACGAUGUAACUAAUCCUAAAAUGUUAAAAGAAUUUAUUUUACCAUUUUUUACAAAAUACAAUUUUUUUUCUCAAAGAAAAAAGAAAAAUUUUGCAAUUUUUAAGAAAGCUGUCGAAUUAAUGUUUGAAAAAAAGCAUUUAACAGAAGCUGGAUUAAAAGAAUUAGUAGAGUUAAGAGAAAAAAUCAACUUAGGAGCCGGUCGUACUAGAAAGUACGUAAAAAAAGACAUUUUAUCAGAAUCCUCAGAGACUAUACGCUAACCUCAAAUUUCGGUUUGAGAUGAUAUAGUCCGAUCCUUAUGGAGACAUAAGGAGCGUGGUAGAAAUAACCACGCCCCCCAUUAAUUAAAUUUAAUUGAACGUUAAGUUUAAUGGAGUAACAAUAAUGAACUGUUCUAUGGUAGGAAAGCUGCCUUAGUAAAACUCAACUAUAUGCUGGAAACUCUGAGAAUCUUGAUCUACUUAUCAAUUUAUGGUAUACAUUUACCAUAGAUGAGUGAAAAUGAUCCAAGUGCAGACAAUCAGCAGGGAAGACUUGAUUUU